RNAcentral lists this long non-coding RNA (1659 nucleotides) under Malus domestica (apple). RNAcentral describes it as "long non-coding RNA (MDOM_LNC009734)". Lineage: Eukaryota; Viridiplantae; Streptophyta; Magnoliopsida; Rosales; Rosaceae. The record is from RNAcentral.
AAUUUUUUUCCCACUUCUUUUGCUUCGCUUCUUCCGUAGCCGUUUGCUCUCCCCUCUCUUCGCCUCUACUGGUCUCAAAGUGGAUAGUUUUGUGGUGAGUUCUUCUAAUCUUGCAUCUACAAGUUUUUUAUGCAACUGUAUGGAUUGUGUUCUGUUAAAUUUUAGAUGUUAGAAGCUUUUAAUUUUUUUUGGGUUCAAUUUUAAAUGGGUUGUUGCUUUCAGAGUUUUCGUUUGAUGACAGAGAUGGGGUUUUUGGGGAGAAACUUUUAAUCCGUGAGUUUUUUAGUUAGGUUGUGUUGUGGGUCUUGAGAAAUGGAUUUGUAAAUGGAUUUUCUAUUGAAAUUGUUUCUCUUCUCAUUUUUUUUUUGUGCCAUCGGGUUUUGCAUAUGGGUGUAUAAUCAGGUUUUCUUUUGAAUUUCAGGGGAUUCAGGUUUUUAUUUUUCUGGAACUUUUGUCUGCAGCUUUGGAAGACAUUUGUGCUUAAGGUGAGAAACUUUGGUUGCUUGCUUUUGGGUUUUGUUGUAGAAUUAAUUAAUUUUUUUUAAGAGUUACAUUCGUGGGAAUUCUUUUGUUCUUCUUUUUUCCUGCAUCUCAAAAAUGCCACAUAAUGUGAGUUUAUAAUUAAAUAAGAAUAUCAAAAUGGGUUUUCUGUGCAAAUUUUCUUUUUCUGAUUUUAUAGAACCGAAGAGGAUGUUAACAAUAACAUUAUUGUGUGAUAUGCGAUCUAAAGUUCUUUGGUGAGUUAUUUGGUUUUCUUGCCACAUGGGAUUUUAACAUAUUUUUUUUUCGUGGUUUAUGCGUGGUUCUCUGAUAUGUUUUGAUUUUUUAUUUCAGGAAAAGUUAACGAUACGAUCAAACGUUUACUGGUGAAUUUUCUAUUUUUCUGAUUGUGUGUGAUUUAAUUUUUUUCAAGCUUUGGGUGUACUUUUCUGAACUGCUUUGAUUUUUAGUUGCAGCAAAAGUUGUUGCUCGAAUUUUCCAGUUUUUAUCUGCAGCUUUGCAAGCUCUUUAUCAACAAGGUAUAUAAUUUUUAUUCUUUUUCCUGAAUCUUUUGUUGGAUGGAAUCGUUUUUUUUGUUUUUGGUGAGUUCUUCUAAUCUCGCAUCUGGUACUGUUUUUUUUUCCGACUGUAUAGAUUGUGUUUUGUUGAAUUUUAAAUGGUAGAAGCUUCUUGGGUUCAAUUUAAAUGGGUUGUUAUCAACUAUUGAAUUGUUUUCGAAGCUAUUUGGCUACUCCCUUAACGCCCUUUUUCCUUUUCUUUUCAGCUUCUUUGAUUUGCAGCCCCCUUCUUUUUUUUCCUUUUCCAGAUUUAGCUUUUUUCCCCUAUAUUGUAUCUUUUGGCUAAUUUUGUGGGUCUUGGUCAGUGCUGUGGGUAUUGGUGAAUUUCUAGCAUGUUUAUGCAUGCAGUUUUUGUUAUAAUUUAUGGAUUGUGUUUUGUUCAAUUUUUAAAUGUCAGAAGCUCUUAAUUUUUUUGGGUUCAAUUUUAAAUGGGUUGUUAUCAACCAUUGAAUUUCUUUUGGAGUAUUCAUUUGAUAAGAGAGAUGGGGGGGGGGGGGGGUUCUUUUGGGUGAAACUUUUGAUCCGUGAGAUUUUUAGUUAGGUUGUGGUGUGGGUUUUCGCAAAUUUCUAUCGUGUUUAUGCAUGCUUUUUUUUGUUAUAG